This 73-nucleotide transfer RNA is filed under the name Pteropus alecto (black flying fox). It matches the Rfam family "tRNA". From Rfam's summary of the family: Transfer RNA (tRNA) molecules are approximately 80 nucleotides in length. Lineage: Eukaryota; Metazoa; Chordata; Mammalia; Chiroptera; Pteropodidae. The record is from Rfam by way of RNAcentral.
GGUUCCAUAGUGCAGUGGUUAGCGCCUCUGCUUUACAUGCAGAAGGUCCUGGAUUCACACUCCAAUGGAGCCA